RNAcentral lists this unclassified non-coding RNA (157 nucleotides) under Bordetella holmesii. RNAcentral describes it as "partial 16S-23S ribosomal RNA intergenic spacer". Lineage: Bacteria; Pseudomonadati; Pseudomonadota; Betaproteobacteria; Burkholderiales; Alcaligenaceae. The record is from RNAcentral.
CGGCGCGAGUCGAUGAGGACGGAUACGGGUUGUGAUUGCAUGAUUUUGUUCCAAGUCUCAAGAACUGGCUGGGCGCGCAAGCGUUUGGUCAGAUGCUUUGAACUUAUGAACGGCACAAGCACGAAUGAACAGCACCUAUAAGACUUUAGUGUUAUAG